GGAAGAUAUUCUAUGUUCAUGGAGUAGAAGACUUUGUAUUGUUAAAAUACCCAUACUCCACAAAGCAAUCCAUAGAAUAAAUAUGUUCCAAGAAUAUUUUUCAUAGAUAAGUGAAAAAUAACUAUUAGAUGCUUGUCUACAACAACUGAAAAUACAUACAUUUUUCUCAAUAUAAAUUUUAAAUAAAUCCAAAUAUGUUAACUGUAUAUUUUAAAAUAAUAUAUCACUAUUAGGUUUUUUAAUUAACAUAAAUACAUAAAGUCUUUUUGUUUGUUUUGUUUUUAGUAGAGCUUAAAAUCUUGGCUCUUACUGUGGUACAAACACAAAAUAAGAACAAUUUUUCGACAUUAGCGUUCAUUGUAAUAAGGCUAUACUUCAACGUCCCUCACAUCACCAAAGGAUUUUACCUCCAUAGUAGCUAAGCUAAGAGUUGACAGUUCUGCUGCACCAAGGAAUGAAUUGUAGGCAGAAUUUUUAGAUACACAUUUCCUGCUAUGGUCAAAGCUAUUUGACUUGAGUGAUUGCCAUCAUUCUCAGCCCACAGGGAACAGGUUAAAUUUGAAAAUACCUAAUAAAAAUAUUAAAAAAAAGAAAUGGUGUGUGUAUUAAGAUGGUCUAUCCAUGAAGUCGUUCAUCAACUCUUUCAAUGAAGAAUGGUUCUGCUUGGAGGGUGGCAUAGACAUUAGUUGAGGGUAAGAUUCUGGUUCAUUGGCUGUGAUGAUUUUGAAAAGCAGUCAUCUCUGAAUAAGAGUAACUUACAAAGUCCUUCUUCAAAGUUGAUACAAUAGUUAUAAAUAUCAAACAAAGCCUCCAGUCUCACUAUUUGCUGUUCUCUUACAAGCCACUUCCCAAAUUAAUUGUCUACAUUUCUUUUGGCUGUAUAAAUAAUUUUGAAAUAUGUAAGCUUUUCUGAAAACCAUAGUAUAGUGGGAAAACCUCAAAUAAACAAUCCUACUAAUAGAGAGGUUGAGAUAGGAGAAGCAUGAUUUCAAGACCAUUAUGUAGCACACAGCAAGACCCUGUCAUGUACAAACAAGCACAAAGUGUAUAUGGAUUGUCCAAUAUUGGACAUAUUUCUCCCAUUACCAAAUUAGAGAGACCAUGGGAUGACAUCUGACAAAUUUCUAAUUCCUCAUAUUUUUGAAUUUCAAUCAAUUAGGAUAUCUUGAGAUAUUAAGGAAAAGUGAUUGUUAUUUCCUGUUAAUUUUCUUUUAGAGGUAGAAUUAUGUUUGUGUGUGUUUGUUGAAAGAUUACUUUCUUGAUUCGUCUAGGCUAUAGUUUCACUCCUUGUGUUGGUGUUUUCUAUCUAUUAUCCUUUGUAGGGCUGGAUUUGUGGAAAGAUAUUGUGUAAAUUUAGAUUUGUCAUGGAAUAUCUUGUUUUCUCCAUAUAUGAUGAUUCAGAGUUUUGCUGGGUAUAGUAGCCUGGGCUAGCAUUUGUGUUCUCUUAGGAUGUGUAUGACAUCUGCCCAGGAUCUUCUAGCUUUCAUAGUCUCUGUUGAGAAGUCAGGUAUAAUUCUGAUAGGUCUGCCUUUAUAUGUUACUUGAGCUUUUUCCCUUACUACUUUUAAAAUUCUUUUGUUGCUUAGUGCAUUUGUUGUUUUGAUUGUUAUGUGACGGGAAGAAUUUCUUUUCUGGUCCAGUCUAUUUGGAGUUCUGUAGGCUUCUUGUAUGUUCAUGGGCAUCUCUUUCUUUAGGUUAGAAACGUUUUCUUCUAUACUUUUAUGUUUGCUGGACCUUUGAGUUGAAAAUCUUCAUUCUCAUCCACUCCUAUUAUCCGUACGUUUGGUCUUCUUAUUGUGUCCUGGAUUUCCUGGAUAUUUUGAGUUAGGAUCUUUUUGCAUUUUCCAUUUUCUUUGAUUGUUGUGCCGAUGUUCUCUAUGGAAUCUUCUGCACCUGAGAUUCUCUCUUCCAUCUCUUGUAUUCUGUUGCUGAUGCUCAAAUCUAUGGUUCCAGAUUUCUUUCCUAGGGUUUCUAUCUCUAGUGUUGCCUCGCUUUGAGUUUUCUUUAUUGUGUCUACUUCCCUUUUUAGGUCUAGUAUGGUUUUGUUCAUUUCCAUCACCUGUUUGUAUGUUUUUUCCUCUUUUUCUGUAAGGACUUCUACCUGACUUGUAACUCUUUAGCAGUGUUCUCCUGUAUUUCUUUAAGUGAUUUAUUAAAGUCCUUCUUGAUGUCCUCUACCAUCAUCAUGAGAUAUGCUUUUAAAUCUAGGUCUAGGUUCUCAGGUGUGUUGGGGUUCCCUGGACUGGGCGCAGUGGGUGUGCUGGGUUCUGGUGAUGGUGAGUGGUCUUGGUUCCUGUUAGUAAGAUUCCUCCGUUUACCUUUCGCCAUCUGGUAAUCUCUGGAGUUAGUAGUUAUAGUUGACUCUGUUUGGAGAUUGUUCUUCUGGUGAUUCUGUUACCGUCUAUCAGCAGACCUGGGAGACAGAUUCUCUCCUCUGAGUUUCAGUGCUCAGAGCACUCUCUGCUGGCAAGUUCUCUUACAGGGAAGGUGCGCAGAUAUCUUGUAUUUGGACCUCCUCCUGGCCGAAG
This 2528-nucleotide long non-coding RNA is filed under the name Mus musculus (house mouse). RNAcentral's name for it is "predicted gene 28268". The record is from RNAcentral. Lineage: Eukaryota; Metazoa; Chordata; Mammalia; Rodentia; Muridae.